Molecule: long non-coding RNA, 1193 nt
Filed under: Marmota monax (woodchuck)
Lineage: Eukaryota; Metazoa; Chordata; Mammalia; Rodentia; Sciuridae
Source: RNAcentral
AGGAUCCCGAGCCCUGUGUCUUUACUCUGUGCAGGACGCCGCAGCAGGCUGGCUCUUGGAGUACCCAGUGCUAGUGGCCUAGCCCAUGCUCCAGCCCUAGGGCUCAGCCAGUGCGCUCACCUCGCCCCCUGAGAGGGCACUGUGCAGUCUCAGGUCCACGUGGAGUGUCCUGCCGAGUGCCUCCCGGACCCUCGAUGGCCUUCAGUGCUCUCUUGCUUCUCGGUCUGCUCCACGGGGAACCCUCUCUGCUACCUCUCUACCUGCACAUCUCCCUAGGUACUGUUUCUGCUCUGGUAGAAUACGAGAAAUUACACUUCAACCAAAGUAGAACAUUUUGGACAGAAAAAAUCGUCACAGUGUAUAUUUUUUAUAUAACAGACAUUACAUAUGUACUAUCAAGUUAUUUAAAUGGUAGUGGGGUGAUCUAAAAGGUGGCUUUGAAUUCUCUAGUGUGAGUGUGAGACACAGAUAAGUGUGUCAGUGAUUUUUAAACCUGUUUUGAAAAAGCAGUGGAAGGUGAUUGUAGCUUGAAACAGCUGCAGAGGGGAGGGCUGGGCUGCUCGCCCCCGGGCCCUCGCACUGCCUGGAUUGGCCUCCCACCUUAGGGCUCGGCAGGCCACACGUGGAACACUCCCCCAUCUGACAUGAGAUCCAUCUGAGAAACACGUCAACUGCCUGGGACCCUCAGCUGCCCCUGGCUUGGAGGUGGGGGCACCUCUCCUUGGGCCCCAGGAGGUGGGCCAGUUAGUGACCAGUGCCCUUCAGUAGACACCAUGACUGCUGCUCAGUGAGCACCACAGGUGGGGGUACCUCAUGCGCAUUCCUUUAUGUGUCUGAUGCCUCUGCAGCCUAGAGGUCCCUGGGGACAGAUGCACUUUGUUGCUUUCAACUUUGGGUCUCAGGGCUCAGUGCGGGACUGACAUUUGGAGGGCACUCGGUUGUUUGCAGUAGAUCUUGAGGCUGGUGCAGUGGUGCACACCUGUGUUCCCAGCUGCUUGCUUGGGAGGAGGCAGGAGGAUCUCUUGAGCCCACGAGUUAGAAACCAGCCUAAGCAACAUAGUGAAACCCCUACUAAAAGAAUAAAAUAAAUAAAAUAAAGCUAUCUCAAGAAGAAAUUAUCUCUGAAAAUCUUUAACAUCUGUGGUUAUUCCAGAGAGUCCCAGGUCUGUGUGCUUGACGCGGCCCCAGGUGAG